AAAAGGGUUAUAUGUUAUAAACUCCUAGGAAAAGUUCUUUCUUUCCUACAGAAAACCUCAUUAUCUUUAUUUUUUCUGAGUGCACCUGCUAUGUACUUGAAUAUGUGCACAUAUUCUCGUACUAGCAGAGACCAAUGGCCACAAAGCCAGUGGAUGACAAAGAGCACAUCCACAUCCACAUCCACAUCCAAAGCCAUAUCCACAUUCACAUCCACAUCCACAGAGAAUCGGAGUCAAAGCAAACCAGCAAGAUUGGCUCUGACCUUACACACACCAUGGCGAGCUAAUAAUCAAGAAGCUGUUGAGCGGCAGGCGCGUAGAAAAAAUAAAUUGAAAAGAAGCAGGUCCCCAAGCUGAGAUCCAAAGAUCCAAAGCUCCAACUCCGCGCAGCCCCAAAAAAAAUAUCGAACAAAAGCUUAAAAAAAGAGCAGACAGCAUUUUCGCAUUUUGAGGUUACGCCAACAAACGGCAAGCGAGUAAAUUGCACAGCACAAGAAUCAACCUCAACCCCAAAAAAGUGUAAAAGAAACAGCUGUUGACCAACUCAAAAUUCGGCUCUUUUUUUCGGUUUUUGCAUAAAGCCAAAACUAUAAAAAAAAGAUAGAGGCGGAAAACCAAUAACAAAGUGUACAUCGAAUUAUCUUAAAUGUUGUGCCUUGGCAAAUGUUUUGAAAACGCUCAAAAAACGCUGCCUGAUUGAAGUGUGUGUUGCUGCGCGAAAAGGUUUUCUUGAUUUCGAAUGGACUUGUCUAGCUGUGUUUGCAUGUAAUUAAAAACAUCGCGAAGCAACAACUACAACGAGUUUAAUGAGACAUAAGUGAGAAUAAUUAAUCAGUAUUCGUUAAUUGCUUAUCGUUACAAGGUUAAUCAAUAAUGACCAAUUUUCAACGAAAUGAGUGUGUAGUGUGCUCGAGAUAUAGCAUACGAUCGUUCAAAUUAGUUAUCGUUUCAAAGAAACUAAGUUAACUAAGUUUAUUAAACAUAAAUCUGCUAAAUUCUGAUAUAUACAAUAUAAAUUCAUUAGCUUAAAAGCCAGAAGAAACCGAUUCAAGAUCACUGAACCCUAGCGUUUCUAAGGUGAGCCGUACUUAAUUUAAUUCAAACCAGUUUUCAGUGGAAAUUAGUCAUUGAACCUUAGAUCCGUUCUUGAUUAAAAACUGGCCCAAAGGUUAGAGUUUGCCAGCUCGUUUGAAAGGCGCAGCAAAAAUACACACAUUCGAAUGCUUUUAAACCGGACUGAUACCUUUAAUUCACCUGGGACAUGUUUAUGUAAUUUAUAGAGAAGUAAAACUGGCACGUGUCUGUAAAGGUUAUAUAAGAUGUAGGGUUAUUUUUACUCGGUAGUAUCACAUUCAUAACAAAUUCAUCAUAUUUUCAAUAUAAUUCAGCAUUUUUAAGGAGAGUUCUUUUAAGAUUCUUCUCUUAAUUACUUGACAACGGUUUUCUACAGCUUUUAAGUCGUUCUAUCUGUAGAUCUACAAAGAUGGUCUAGUUUUCCUAUCCAUCAUCCACCCUCAACCUCAUCAAUCAUUCGAUCUGGCCCCAUAUCACGUACAUACAUACAAACAUACAUAUGUAUGUAUAGGUGAGCAGACCCAACAAAGUGGGGAAAACAAAGUCAAAGAGGAAGGUGAAGUAGAAACCGAGAAGAGAAGCAGAACCAAGAAAUAUUUUGUUGUGUGUACUCAACUUUAAGUGGCACUUCAACUUCGUGUACGGCGUUCAACUCUUCGCUUAGGUGUUUUUUAUAUAUUUUUUUUUUUUUCUUUUUCCGUAAGCAGGGGAGUUGAGUGUUGUUGGGGCGGCGAGGGGGGUUGCCUUCUUAUUUUUGGAACAAACAUAAACAACGGCGAGCAAGAAAAACCAGUUCCACGGGGCGAAGGCUAGAACAUGUUGCACGUCGUACCGCCAAGCAGGUUGCCUUUGCCUCCGACACAGCUCCACACACAGCCAUACUGCUCCACAGCUCCACAGCUCCAUAGGCUGAUAGCGUCUCCCCCAUUCGCAUUUGGAGCAUUGAGUGCAGCAGCCCAUACAGAAAAUGCUAUUUCGGGGCACACUCUCCGGCGUAUAUGUAUAUGUACGUACGUACAUAUGGCACUCGUCCUCAAUUUGGACGAAGUCCGAAAACUCACACCCCUCUGAAUGACAUAUUUUCCAGGGUCGAGCCCCGUCGUCGUCAGCCAGGAAGUUCGAUGAGAACAACAAUAACCGAAAGCGAACAGGAAUAUCCAGAUCGUGAUGCACUGAGCAAAUAAGGGUGGGCUAAGCUUUGAAGAGAGCAAGCUCAUAAAAGUGCUGGAAUUACGACCUUAUAAACAUAACACUUCCAUAAAGAUUGGAAUUAAGCUUUUUAAGCCAUAUGUUAGAUCACUAGGUCACUGCGUUUAAAACAAUAUAAUCGAAAUGGGGAAAUGAA
Drosophila simulans is the source of this 2419-nucleotide long non-coding RNA. RefSeq lists it as uncharacterized. Lineage: Eukaryota; Metazoa; Arthropoda; Insecta; Diptera; Drosophilidae. The record is from RefSeq and is a predicted model, not a curated record. The transcript is spliced from 2 exons.